This 78-nucleotide transfer RNA is filed under the name Nitrospinae bacterium CG11_big_fil_rev_8_21_14_0_20_45_15. RNAcentral describes it as "tRNA-Pro". It matches the Rfam family "tRNA". Rfam says of the family: Transfer RNA (tRNA) molecules are approximately 80 nucleotides in length. Their secondary structure includes four short double-helical elements and three loops (D, anti-codon, and T loops). The record is from RNAcentral. RNAcentral also lists the same sequence under 6 other names. Lineage: Bacteria; Pseudomonadati; Nitrospinota.
CGGGGCGUGGCGCAGCCUGGCUAGCGUACCUGCUUUGGGAGCAGGGGGUCGGAGGUUCAAAUCCUCUCGCCCCGACCA